GCGAGUCGAAUGUAGCAAUACAUGGCGAACUGCUCAGUAACACGUGGACAACCUGCCCUUAGGACGGGGAUAAACCCGGGAAACUGGGUAUAAUACCCGAUAGGUCUCGAUUGCUGGAAUGCAUCGAGAUUUAAAGCUCCGGCGCCUAAGGAUGGGUCUGCGGCCUAUCAGGUAGUAGUGGGUGUAGCGUACCUACUAGCCUACGACGGGUACGGGUUGUGAGAGCAAGAGCCCGGAGAUGGAUUCUGAGACACGAAUCCAGGCCCUACGGGGUGCAGCAGGCGCGAAAACUUUACAAUGCUGGCAACAGCGAUAAGGGAACCUCGAGUGCCAGGUUACAAAUCUGGCUGUCGAGAUGCCUAAAAAGCAUUUCAUAGCAAGGGCCGGGCAAGACCGGUGCCAGCCGCCGCGGUAACACCGGCGGCUCGAGUGGUAACCGUUAUUAUUGGGUCUAAAGGGUCUGUAGCCGGCCGGAUAAGUCUCUUGAGAAAUCUGGCAGCUUAACUGUCAGGCUUUCAGGAGAUACUGUCUGGCUCGAGGCCGGGAGAGGUGAGAGGUACUUCAGGGGUAGGGGUGAAAUCUUGUAAUCCUUGAAGGACCACCAGUGGCGAAGGCGUCUCACCAGAACGGACCUGACGGCAAGGGACGAAAGCUAGGGGCACGAACCGGAUUAGAUACCCGGGUAGUCCUAGCCGUAAACGAUACUCGCUAGGUGUCGGCCACGGUGCGACCGUUGUCGGUGCCGUAGGGAAGCCGUGAAGCGAGCCACCUGGGAAGUACGGCCGCAAGGCUGAAACUUAAAGGAAUUGGCGGGGGAGCACCACAACGGGUGGAGC
Molecule: ribosomal RNA, 836 nt
Filed under: uncultured archaeon
Lineage: Archaea
Description: bacterial SSU rRNA
Rfam family: Archaeal small subunit ribosomal RNA
Source: RNAcentral